This 504-nucleotide ribosomal RNA is filed under the name uncultured bacterium. Its description in RNAcentral is "partial 16S ribosomal RNA". It matches the Rfam family "Bacterial small subunit ribosomal RNA", at positions 29 to 523 of the family's 1533-position model. The record is from RNAcentral.
AUUGAACGCUGGCGGCAGGCCUAACACAUGCAAGUCGGACGGUAGCACAGAGAGCUUGCUCUUGGGUGACGAGUGGCGGACGGGUGAGUAAUGUCUGGGGAUCUGCCCGAUAGAGGGGGAUAACCACUGGAAACGGUGGCUAAUACCGCAUAACGUCGCAAGACCAAAGAGGGGGACCUUCGGGCCUCUCACUAUCGGAUGAACCCAGAUGGGAUUAGCUAGUAGGCGGGGUAAUGGCCCACCUAGGCGACGAUCCCUAGCUGGUCUGAGAGGAGGACCAGCCACACUGGAACUGAGGCACGGUCCAGACUCCUACGGGAGGCAGCAGUGGGGAAUAUUGCACAAUGGGCGCAAGCCUGAUGCAGCCAUGCCGCGUGUAUGAAGAAGGCCUUCGGGUUGUAAAGUACUUUCAGCGGGGAGGAAGGCGGUGAGGUUAAUAACCUUGCCGAUUGACGUUACCCGCAGAAGAAGCACCGGCUAACUCCGUGCCAGCAGCCGCGGUAA